This is a long non-coding RNA of Camelus dromedarius (Arabian camel), 1240 nucleotides long. RefSeq lists it as uncharacterized. The record is from RefSeq and is a predicted model, not a curated record. NCBI's taxonomy places the organism in Eukaryota, Metazoa, Chordata, Mammalia, Artiodactyla, Camelidae. The transcript is spliced from 5 exons.
GUGAGCCCCGCUGGGCCCAAGCACCCCCCACCUCCCGCGGAUUCCAGCUCUGGACUUCUGCCGUCCAGCUUGGGGCGGGGGCGAGGGAGGUGGGACGAGGCUGGAGGCAUCCAGGGAAAUUGCAGCCUAGCGUGAAUCACCCGGCACAUGACCCCAAAGAGAAGGGGUGGAUGCGGAACCCGCUCGUGAUACGGCUGGGGCUCGGGGAGGGCAGGCCUUGCGCUCGCCCCCACCAUCACCCUCCAGCCACGAUUUGGGAAUAGAGGGAAGCCCCCCUCCCGUCCGGCUCCACCCCGGCAGCCCCCGGCCCGCCCGCUUGCUGGGUGAGGCGGGACUCACGGCCUUCAGCUGCUCCAGCCGGUCCUUCAUCCUGCUGCCCAGGCGCCCGCAGGCAGCCAUUCACUGUGCUAGGAUCCGGCCCUCAACAGACUCAUUCAUUGCUAAGCGGCGACUACAUCCCGAAAACAAGAAACUCUAAGACAAAGUGAUUAGGUGGGAGAGACAGCAACGAAUUCUGCCUGGAGGAAGGGCAUUCCAAGUAACAGAAUGUGCCCGGUCUCGGGGGUCUGCGUGUUGAAGCUGAAAGAGUGAAAAUGAUGGAGGCGAGGCUGGGACGAAGACUUCGGAUCUUAUGAUGUUGACAGUGGGGACCCAUAAGAGAAAUACAAACUCCUCAACUCCUGGAGCCCUUAAGCACGAAGUUCUCCUCUAAAGAGCCUGGUGCAGGAAGUGGGAAGACUCAAUGCGGAAGCUUCAUCAUGAGAUGCCCACUGUUACCCCUGAGCUGCGGAAGACACGUGCACCUGUCUCUUACAACACCCGUGAAACACUUGUCAAGAGUAACAGGACAAACCGAGUGAAACCUUAGGGAGAGAAUUGAGGAUGAAAGAUAAAUAAUUCAAGAUGGCAGAAACUCGGCACUUACACCACGGGAAUCAUGAGACAGUAGUUGGAACGGUCCCAGUUUGAUCGGCAACUUACGCUUGUGUCUGCGCCUGCCCAGAUGUGCAACGUGCGAGCCUGCUAAGGGCCUGAGAACUACACCUGGAGCGAAGUCCGAAGCAGGACACAGACUCUACCUGCGAUGUUCACAGGAAGCAUCCUGACCAGGCCCACCUGUGAAUGGCUGCAGGAAAGAAGAAAUUAACACAUCCCUUCCAGAGUCAGAACAGAACCAGGAAAGAUUUGCAACAACGUAUCACCUUUUUACCUUACCUCCUCCUCUUUUUUCUAUAGAAGA